AUUGAACGCUGGCGGCAUGCCUUACACAUGCAAGUCGAACGGCAGCACGGGAGCAAUCCUGGUGGCGAGUGGCGAACGGGUGAGUAAUGUAUCGGAACGUGCCCAGUCGUGGGGGAUAACGUAGCGAAAGCUACGCUAAUACCGCAUACGAUCUAUGGAUGAAAGCGGGGGAUCGCAAGACCUCGCGCGAUUGGAGCGGCCGAUAUCAGAUUAGGUAGUUGGUGGGGUAAAGGCUCACCAAGCCGACGAUCUGUAGCUGUUCUGAGAGGACGACCAGCCACACUGGGACUGAGACACGGCCCAGACUCCUACGGGAGGCAGCAGUAGGUAAUUUUGGACAAUGGGCGCAAGCCUGAUCCAGCAAUGCCGCGUGCAGGAUGAAGGCCUUCGGGUUGUAAACUGCUUUUGUACGGAACGAAACGGCGAGCUCUAAUACAGUUUGCUAAUGACGGUACCGUAAGAAUAAGCACCGGCUAACUACGUGCCAGCAGCCGCCGUAA
RNAcentral lists this ribosomal RNA (500 nucleotides) under uncultured bacterium. RNAcentral's name for it is "partial 16S ribosomal RNA". It matches the Rfam family "Bacterial small subunit ribosomal RNA", at positions 30 to 523 of the family's 1533-position model. The record is from RNAcentral.